This 496-nucleotide ribosomal RNA is filed under the name uncultured bacterium. Its description in RNAcentral is "partial 16S ribosomal RNA". It matches the Rfam family "Bacterial small subunit ribosomal RNA", at positions 28 to 506 of the family's 1533-position model. The record is from RNAcentral.
GAUGAACGCUGGCGGCGUGCCUAAUACAUGCAAGUCGAGCGAACGGACGAGAAGCUUGCUUUUCUGAUGUUAGCGGCGGACGGGAGAGUAACACGUGGAUAACCUACCUAUAAGACUGGGAUAACUUCGGGAAACCGUAGCUAAUAUGGGAUAAUAUUUUGAACCGCAUGGUUCAAAAGUGAAAGACGGUCUUGCCGUCACUUAUAGCUGGUUCCGCGCUGCAUUAGCUAGUUGGUAAGGUAACGGCUUACCAAGGCAACGAUGCAUAGCCGACCUGAGAGGGUGAUCGGCCACACUGGAACUGAGACACGGUCCAGACUCCUACGGGAGGCAGCAGUAGGGAAUCUUCCGCAAUGGGCGAAAGCCUGACGGAGCAACGCCGCGUGAGUGAUGAAGGUCUUCGGAUCGUAAAACUCUGUUAUUAGGGAAGAACAUAUGUGUAAGUAACUGUGCACAUCUUGACGGUACCUAAUCAGAAAGCCACGGCUAACUACGU